This 256-nucleotide ribosomal RNA is filed under the name Bacteroides fragilis. RNAcentral's name for it is "partial 16S ribosomal RNA". It matches the Rfam family "Bacterial small subunit ribosomal RNA", at positions 1 to 244 of the family's 1533-position model. The record is from RNAcentral. Lineage: Bacteria; Pseudomonadati; Bacteroidota; Bacteroidia; Bacteroidales; Bacteroidaceae.
UAUUACAAUGAAGAGUUUGAUCCUGGCUCAGGAUGAACGCUAGCUACAGGCUUAACACAUGCAAGUCGAGGGGCAGCAUGGUCUUAGCUUGCUAAGGCCGAUGGCGACCGGCGCACGGGUGAGUAACACGUAUCCAACCUGCCGUCUACUCUUGGACAGCCUUCUGAAAGGAAGAUUAAUACAAGAUGGCAUCAUGAGUCCGCAUGUUCACAUGAUUAAAGGUAUUCCGGUAGACGAUGGGGAUGCGUUCCAUUAG